GAUCCUGGCUCAGAACGAACGCUGGCGGCAUGCCUAACACAUGCAAGUCGAACGAGACCUUCGGGUCUAGUGGCGCACGGGUGCGUAACGCGUGGGAAUCUGCCCUUGGGUACGGAACAACAGUUAGAAAUGACUGCUAAUACCGUAUAAUGACUUCGGUCCAAAGAUUUAUCGCCCAGGGAUGAGCCCGCGUCGGAUUAGCUAGUUGGUGAGGUAAAAGCUCACCAAGGCGACGAUCCGUAGCUGGUCUGAGAGGAUGAUCAGCCACACUGGGACUGAGACACGGCCCAGACUCCUACGGGAGGCAGCAGUGGGGAAUAUUGGACAAUGGGCGCAAGCCUGAUCCAGCAAUGCCGCGUGAGUGAUGAAGGCCUUAGGGUUGUAAAGCUCUUUUACCCGGGAUGAUAAUGACAGUACCGGGAGAAUAAGCCCCGGCUAACUCCGUGCCAGCAGCCGCGGUAAUACGGAGGGGGCUAGCGUUGUUCGGAAUUACUGGGCGUAAAGCGCACGUAGGCGGCUUUGCAAGUUAGAGGUGAAAGCCCGGGGCUCAACCCCGGAAUUGCCUUUAAAACUGCAUCGCUAGAAUUGUGGAGAGGUAAGUGGAAUUCCGAGUGUAGAGGUGAAAUUCGUAGAUAUUCGGAAGAACACCAGUGGCGAAGGCGACUUACUGGACACAUAUUGACGCUGA
Molecule: ribosomal RNA, 688 nt
Filed under: uncultured bacterium
Lineage: Bacteria
Description: bacterial SSU rRNA
Rfam family: Bacterial small subunit ribosomal RNA
Source: RNAcentral